AUGGCUUCCGCCGUCGAUUGCAAGGGCAAGGAAAUCGCGCCGGCCAGCCUCCUCAAGUCCGGUACUCCCGUGGCCUACUGCUCGGUCGACUCCCCCGCCGUCACCACCGCCCGCCGCCCAUACAACACCCAGGCCAAGGAGGUCAGCCACUACGACGACGACGACGACGACUACAACGCCCGCGACCUCGUCACCCCCAGCUUCUUCUCGCAGGACGUGCUCGACCCGCUUGGUGCGUUGACCAGCAUGGCUCGUCUGCUGUCUCUGAUGGAGGACGUCGCAACUGAGACCGGCGGCCUCUCCUCCACUGCUGGGGCUGGGGCGUCGCGGCUCGGACAGUGGGUGGCCAAGGAGGACGACGACGCGGUGUACCUCAAGGUGUCGAUGCCGGGGCUGACCAAGGAGCACGUGGAGGACGGCGACGACGACUCCGCGGUGCCGAGGUACAACCGCCGCAUCCAGGUGCCCGCUGCUGACGCGUACAAGAUGGACAAGAUCAAGGCCGAGAUGAAGAAUGGCCUACUCUGGGUCACCCUGCUCAAGGUCAAGGAGGAGGAGCGCAAGGACGUCUUCCACGUCAAGCGCCGCUCCGGCGCCUUCUCCUCCGAGAUCUGGUUUCACGAGAAACGUCUCAUCCUCGGCACCUUCGACACCCCAGAGGAGGUGGCCCCCGCGCAUGACGCGGUGGCGUAG
This 693-nucleotide ribosomal RNA is filed under the name Triticum aestivum (bread wheat). RNAcentral's name for it is "partial small subunit ribosomal RNA". The record is from RNAcentral. Lineage: Eukaryota; Viridiplantae; Streptophyta; Magnoliopsida; Poales; Poaceae.